GCGAACGCUGGCGGCAGGCCUAACACCUGCAAGUCGCACGAACCUUUCGGGGUUAGUGGCGGACGGGUGAGUAACACGUGGGAACGUGCCUUUAGGUUCGGAAUAACUCAGGGAAACUUGUGCUAAUACCGAAUGUGCCCUUCGGGGGAAAGAUUUAUCGCCUUUAGAGCGGCCCGCGUCUGAUUAGCUAGUUGGUUGAGGUAAUGGCUCACCAAGGCGACGAUCAGUAGCUGGUCUGAGAGGAUGAUCAGCCACAUUGGGACUGAGACACGGCCCAAACUCCUACGGGAGGCAGCAGUGGGGAAUCUUGCGCAAUGGGCGAAAGCCUGACGCAGCCAUGCCGCGUGAAUGAUGAAGGUCUUAGGAUUGUAAAAUUCUUUCACCGGGGACGAUAAUGACGGUACCCGGAGAAGAAGCCCCGGCUAACUUCGUG
This 433-nucleotide ribosomal RNA is filed under the name uncultured bacterium. RNAcentral's name for it is "partial 16S ribosomal RNA". It matches the Rfam family "Bacterial small subunit ribosomal RNA", at positions 29 to 507 of the family's 1533-position model. The record is from RNAcentral.